Molecule: ribosomal RNA, 253 nt
Filed under: uncultured bacterium
Lineage: Bacteria
Description: partial 16S ribosomal RNA
Rfam family: Bacterial small subunit ribosomal RNA
Source: RNAcentral
UACGUAGGGUGCAAGCGUUAAUCGGAAUUACUGGGCGUAAAGCGUGCGCAGGCGGCUUUGCAAGACAGAUGUGAAAUCCCCGGGCUUAACCUGGGAACUGCAUUUGUGACUGCAAGGCUAGAGUACGGUAGAGGGGGAUGGAAUUCCGCGUGUAGCAGUGAAAUGCGUAGAUAUCAGGAGGAACACCGAUGGCGAAGGCAGGUCUCUGGGCUGACACUGACGCUCAUGCACGAAAGCGUGGGGAGCAAACAGG